GAGUUUGAUCCUGGCUCAGGAUGAACGCUGGCGGCGUGCUUAACACAUGCAAGUCGAACGAAGCGCCUCGGAUUGAUUUCUUCGGAUUGAUAUCUUUGGCGACUGAGUGGCGGACGGGUGAGUAACGCGUGGGUAACCUGCCUCAUACAGGGGGAUAACAGUUAGAAAUGACUGCUAAUACCGCAUGAGCGCACAGUACCGCAUGGUAUGGUGUGAAAAACUCCGGUGGUAUGAGAUGGACCCGCGUCUGAUUAGCUCGUUGGCGGGGUAACGGCCCACCAAGGCGACGAUCAGUAGCCGACCUGAGAGGGUGAUCGGCCACAUUGGGACUGAGACACGGCCCAAACUCCUACGGGAGGCAGCGGUGGGGAAUAUUGCACAAUGGGGGAAACCCUGAUGCAGCGACGCCGCGUGAAGGAAGACGUAUUUCGGUAUGUAAACUUCUAUCAGCAAGGAAGAUGAUGACGGUACUUGACUAAGAAGCCCCGGCUAACUACGUGCCAGCCGCCGCGGUAAUUC
This 519-nucleotide ribosomal RNA is filed under the name uncultured bacterium. RNAcentral's name for it is "bacterial SSU rRNA". It matches the Rfam family "Bacterial small subunit ribosomal RNA", at positions 9 to 526 of the family's 1533-position model. The record is from RNAcentral.